UGAGGGAAAGGUGAAAAGUACCCCUAACAGGGGAGUGAAAUAGACCUGAAACCGUGCGCUUACAAGCGGUCGGAGCUCUUCGGAGUGACGGCGUGCCUUUUGCAUAAUGAGCCUACGAGUUACUGCUCACUGGCAAGGUUAAGUUAAUAACGGAGCCGAAGCGAAAGCGAGUCUUAACAGGGCGUGCAGUCAGUGGGCGUAGACGCGAAACCCGGUGAUCUACCCAUGGGCAGGUUGAAGUUGUGGUAACACACAAUGGAGGACCGAACCAGUUGACGUUGAAAAGUCUUUGGAUGACCUGUGGGUAGGGGUGAAAGGCCAAUCAAACUUAGAGAUAGCUGGUUUUCUGCGAAAUCUAUUUAAGUAGAGCGUUUAAAAACUUUGUUUUGAGGUAGAGCACUUAAUAAAUAAGGGGGGUGUAAAACUUUACUGAAUUUAAUAAAACUUCGAAUACAAAACAAAAGAAUUUAAGCAGACAGACUAUGAGUGCUAAGAUUCAUAGUCGAAAGGGAAACAGCCCAGACUAUUUGUUAAGGCCCUCAAAAGUAAUUAAGUGAAAAAGAAAGUGAAAAAAUUUUAACAACCGGAAGGUAGGCUUGGAAGCAGCCAUCCUUUAAAGAAAGCGUAACAGCUCACUGGUUUAGUUUUUUUGCGUCAAAAAUGUAUAGGGACUAAUAUUACUUGCCGAAACAAUAGAUUUAAAUGACUAAAAUUUUAUUGGUACAUUUAAAUGGUAGCAGAACGUUCUGUAGAUCUAAGAAGAUUUAUGGUAACAUAAAUUGUAGAGAUCAGAAGUGUAAAUGUUGAUAUGAGUAGCGAAAAACAAUGUGCGCUUUAGGCAAAGCAUUGUUGCCUUAAGUUCAAGGUUUCCAAAGCAAGGCUAAUCCUCUUUGGUUAAAUCGGUCCCUAAGAAUUUGACGAAAGUUAGUAUUUGAUGGGUGAUAAUAUUAUUCAAUUUAAAGUGACAAAAUAUGAAAAUUAUUUUUAUUUAAUGGUUAAAAUAAAAGUUUUUUAGUAUUUUCGAGAAAUAGCUUUAAAAAUCUAACCGUACUGUAAACCGACACAGGUGAACAAAUUUAGUAAAUUAAGGCACUUGAGAGAAUUGUACUGAAGGAACUCGGCAAAAUGACUCCGUAACUUCGGAAUAAGGAGUAGCUUUUUGAGGGAAACCUUAAAAAGCUGGCACAAAAUCGAGGACAGCGACUGUUUAAUAAAAACACAGGUCUCUGCAAAUUUGUAAAAAGAAGUAUAGAGACUGACGCCUGCCCGGUGCUGCAAGAUUAAUGGAAAAAGUUUUGGCUUUGACCUCAAACCCCAGUAAACGGCGGCUGUAACUCUGACGGUCCAAAGGUAGCGAAAUUCCUUGGCAUUUAAUUGGUGUCCUGCAUGAAUGGCGUAACGACUGUCCUACUGUCUCCAGUACAAUCUCAGUGAAAUUGAAAUCUCCGUGAAGAUGCGGAGUACCUGCGGCUAGACGGAAAGACCCUGUGCACCUUUACUAUAGUUAUGUAUUGUAAUAAAAAUUAUUAUGUAUAGAAUAUGUGGGAAGUUUCUAACAAAUCUUUACGCAAGUAAAUUAUUAAAACAAAAGUGAAAUACCACUCUUAAUAUUUUUUAUUACUUAUUGAUUAAGACAGUGCAUAAUGGGUAGUUUGACUGGGGCGGUCGCCUCCUAAAGAGUAACGGAGGCGCGCGAAGGUAGGCUCAGACCGGUCGGAAAUCGGUCGUUGAGUGCAAUGGCAUAAGCCUGCCUGACUGCGAGACUGACAAGUCGAGCAGAGACGAAAGUCGGUCAUAGUGAUCCGGUGGUC
RNAcentral lists this ribosomal RNA (1811 nucleotides) under Extubocellulus spinifer. Its description in RNAcentral is "partial Bacterial large subunit ribosomal RNA". It matches the Rfam family "Bacterial large subunit ribosomal RNA", at positions 504 to 2428 of the family's 2925-position model. The record is from RNAcentral. Lineage: Eukaryota; Bacillariophyta; Thalassiosirophyceae; Cymatosirales; Cymatosiraceae.